Molecule: transfer RNA, 106 nt
Filed under: Spathiphyllum kochii
Lineage: Eukaryota; Viridiplantae; Streptophyta; Magnoliopsida; Alismatales; Araceae
Description: tRNA-Ser
Rfam family: tRNA (bases 1-89)
About the family: Transfer RNA (tRNA) molecules are approximately 80 nucleotides in length. Their secondary structure includes four short double-helical elements and three loops (D, anti-codon, and T loops).
Source: RNAcentral
GGAGAGAUGGCCGAGUGGUUCAAGGCGUAGCAUUGGAACUGCUAUGUAGGCUUUUUUGUUUACCGAGGGUUCGAAUCCCUCUCUUUCCGUUUCUGCACCUUCGCCU